Molecule: small nuclear RNA, 115 nt
Organism: Fukomys damarensis (Damara mole-rat)
Lineage: Eukaryota; Metazoa; Chordata; Mammalia; Rodentia; Bathyergidae
Gene: U5
Rfam family: U5 spliceosomal RNA
About the family: U5 RNA is a component of both types of known spliceosome. The precise function of this molecule is unknown, though it is known that the 5' loop is required for splice site selection and p220 binding, and that both the 3' stem-loop and the Sm site are important for Sm protein binding and cap methylation.
Source: Ensembl
AUACUCUGGUUUCUCUUCAGAUUGUAUAAAUCUUUCGCCUUCUACUAAAGAUUUCGUGGAGAGGAACAAUUCUGAGGCUUAACCCAAUUUUUUGAGGCCUUCUUUUUACAGGACU